RNAcentral lists this transfer RNA (75 nucleotides) under Acinetobacter sp. RNAcentral describes it as "tRNA-Met". It matches the Rfam family "tRNA". Rfam says of the family: Transfer RNA (tRNA) molecules are approximately 80 nucleotides in length. Their secondary structure includes four short double-helical elements and three loops (D, anti-codon, and T loops). Lineage: Bacteria; Pseudomonadati; Pseudomonadota; Gammaproteobacteria; Moraxellales; Moraxellaceae. The record is from RNAcentral.
GGGACUGUAGCUUAAGGGUUAAGCGUUCCCCUCAUAAGGGAGGGAGUCCGAGUUCGAGUCUCGGCGGUCCCACAA